UACGGAGGGUGCAAGCGUUAAUCGGGAUUACUGGGCGUAAAGCGUGCGCAGGCGGUUUGUUAAGUCCGUUGUGAAAGCCCCGAGCUCAACUUGGGAAUUGCAGUGGAUACUGGCAGGCUGGAGUACGGUAGAGGAAGGUGGAAUUCCCGGUGUAGCAGUGAAAUGCGUAGAUAUCGGGAGGAACACCAGUGGCGAAGGCGGCUCUCUGGGACGGUACUGACGCUGAGACGCGAAAGCGUGGGGAGCGAACAGG
Molecule: ribosomal RNA, 253 nt
Filed under: uncultured bacterium
Lineage: Bacteria
Description: partial 16S ribosomal RNA
Rfam family: Bacterial small subunit ribosomal RNA
Source: RNAcentral